This 530-nucleotide ribosomal RNA is filed under the name uncultured bacterium. RNAcentral's name for it is "bacterial SSU rRNA". It matches the Rfam family "Bacterial small subunit ribosomal RNA", at positions 398 to 919 of the family's 1533-position model. The record is from RNAcentral.
CUCGUGGGUGAAGAAGGCCUUCGGGUUGUAAAGCCCUUUUGUUGGGAAAGAAAUCCAGCCGGCUAAUACCUGGUUGGGAUGACGGUACCCAAAGAAUAAGCACCGGCUAACUUCGUGCCAGCAGCCGCGGUAAUACGAAGGGUGCAAGCGUUACUCGGAAUUACUGGGCGUAAAGCGUGCGUAGGUGGUCGUUUAAGUCCGUUGUGAAAGCCCUGGGCUCAACCUGGGAACUGCAGUGGAUACUGGGCGACUAGAGUGUGGUAGAGGGUAGCGGAAUUCCUGGUGUAGCAGUGAAAUGCGUAGAGAUCAGGAGGAACAUCCAUGGCGAAGGCAGCUACCUGGACCAACACUGACACUGAGGCACGAAAGCGUGGGGAGCAAACAGGAUUAGAUACCCUGGUAGUCCACGCCCUAAACGAUGCGAACUGGAUGUUGGGUGCAAUUUGGCACGCAGUAUCGAAGCUAACGCGUUAAGUUCGCCGCCUGGGGAGUACGGUCGCAAGACUGAAACUCAAAGAAAUUGUGACGGG